RNAcentral lists this ribosomal RNA (402 nucleotides) under Verrucomicrobiota bacterium. RNAcentral describes it as "Verrucomicrobia bacterium partial 16S ribosomal RNA". It matches the Rfam family "Bacterial small subunit ribosomal RNA", at positions 355 to 776 of the family's 1533-position model. The record is from RNAcentral. Lineage: Bacteria; Pseudomonadati; Verrucomicrobiota.
UGGGGAAUUUUGCACAAUGGGGGAAACCCUGAUGCAGCGACGCCGCGUGAUUUAGAAGGCCUUCGGGUUGUAAAAAUCUUUUCUAUGGGAAGAAAAUGACAGUACCAUAGGAAUAAGGACCGGCUAAUUACGUGCCAGCAGCCGCGGUAAUACGUAUGGGGCGAGCGUUGUCCGGAAUUAUUGGGCGUAAAGGGUACGUAGGCGGUUUUUUAAGUCAGGUGUCAAAGCGUGGAGCUUAACUCCAUUAAGCACUUGAAACUGAAAGACUUGAGUGAAGGAGAGGAAAGUGGAAUUCCUAGUGUAGCGGUGAAAUGCGUAGAUAUUAGGAGGAAUACCGGUGGCGAAGGCGACUUUCUGGACUUUUACUGACGCUCAGGUACGAAAGCGUGGGGAGCAAACAGG